Molecule: ribosomal RNA, 600 nt
Filed under: bacterium Ca.S5
Lineage: Bacteria
Description: bacterial SSU rRNA
Rfam family: Bacterial small subunit ribosomal RNA
Source: RNAcentral
GUCGAGCGAAUCGAUGGGAGCUUGCUCCCUGAGAUUAGCGGCGCNUUUNNNGAGUAACACGUGGGCAACCUGCCUAUAAGACUGGGNUAACUUCGGGAAACCGGAGCUAAUACCGGAUACGUUCUUUUCUCGCAUGAGAGAAGAUGGAAAGACGGUUUACGCUGUCACUUAUAGAUGGGCCCGCGGCGCAUUAGCUAGUUGGUGAGGUAAUGGCUCACCAAGGCGACGAUGCGUAGCCGACCUGAGAGGGUGAUCGGCCACACUGGGACUGAGACACGGCCCAGACUCCUACGGGAGGCAGCAGUAGGGAAUCUUCCGCAAUGGACGAAAGUCUGACGGAGCAACGCCGCGUGAACGAAGAAGGCCUUCGGGUCGUAAAGUUCUGUUGUUAGGGAAGAACAAGUACCAGAGUAACUGCUGGUACCUUGACGGUACCUAACCAGAAAGCCACGGCUAACUACGUGCCAGCAGCCGCGGUAAUACGUAGGUGGCAAGCGUUGUCCGGAAUUAUUGGGCGUAAAGCGCGCGCAGGUGGUUCCUUAAGUCUGAUGUGAAAGCCCACGGCUCAACCGUGGAGGGUCAUUGGAAACUGGGGAACUU